CACGUAGGGCGCAAGCGUUGUCCGGAAUUAUUGGGCGUAAAGAGCUCGUAGGCGGACUGUCACGUCUGCUGUGAAAAGCUGGGGCUUAACCCUGGCCUUGCAGUGGAUACGGGCAGACUAGAGGUAGGUAGGGGAGAAUGGAAUUCCCGGUGUAGCGGUGAAAUGCGCAGAUAUCGGGAGGAACACCGGUGGCGAAGGCGGUUCUCUGGGCCUUACCUGACGCUGAGGAGCGAAAGCGUGGGGAGCGAACGGG
RNAcentral lists this ribosomal RNA (253 nucleotides) under uncultured bacterium. RNAcentral describes it as "partial 16S ribosomal RNA". It matches the Rfam family "Bacterial small subunit ribosomal RNA", at positions 524 to 776 of the family's 1533-position model. The record is from RNAcentral.